Molecule: ribosomal RNA, 468 nt
Filed under: uncultured bacterium
Lineage: Bacteria
Description: partial 16S ribosomal RNA
Rfam family: Bacterial small subunit ribosomal RNA
Source: RNAcentral
GACGAACGCUGGCGGCGUGCUUAACACAUGCAAGUCGAACGGAAAGGCCCUGCUUUUGUGGGGUGCUCGAGUGGCGAACGGGUGAGUAACACGUGAGUAACAUGCCCUUGACUUUGGGAUAACUUCAGGAAACUGGGGCUAAUACCGGAUAGGAGCUCCUGCAGCAUGGUGGGGGUUGGAAAGUGUCGGCGGUUGGGGAUGGACUCGCGGCUUAUCAGCUUGUUGGUGGGGUAGUGGCUUACAAAGGUUUUGAAGGGUAGGCGGCCUUGGAGGGGUAACGGCCACAAUGGGACUGAGAGACGGCCCAGACUGCUACCGGAGGCAGUAGUGGGGAACCUUGCACAACGGGCCGAAGCCUGAUGCAGCAACGCCGGGUGCGGGAUGACGGCCUUCGGGUUGUAAACCGCUUUCGCCUGUGACGAAGCGUGAGUGACGGUAAUGGGUAAAGAAGCACCGGCUAACUACGUG